This 74-nucleotide transfer RNA is filed under the name Zootermopsis nevadensis. It matches the Rfam family "tRNA". Rfam says of the family: Transfer RNA (tRNA) molecules are approximately 80 nucleotides in length. Their secondary structure includes four short double-helical elements and three loops (D, anti-codon, and T loops). The record is from Rfam by way of RNAcentral. Lineage: Eukaryota; Metazoa; Arthropoda; Insecta; Blattodea; Termopsidae.
GCCACGGUGGUCUUAGCGGUCAGAACGCUGGCUUUGUAAUCCUGGGGUCUCGGGUUCGAUUCCCGGCGGUGCCC